Molecule: ribosomal RNA, 456 nt
Filed under: uncultured bacterium
Lineage: Bacteria
Description: bacterial SSU rRNA
Rfam family: Bacterial small subunit ribosomal RNA
Source: RNAcentral
UACGGGAGGCAGCAGUGGGGAAUAUUGGACAAUGGGCGCAAGCCUGAUCCAGCCAUGCCGCGUGUGUGAAGAAGGCCUUCGGGUUGUAAAGCACUUUUGUCCGGAAAGAAAAGCUUAGGGUUAAUAACCUUGAGUCAUGACGGUACCGGAAGAAUAAGCACCGGCUAACUUCGUGCCAGCAGCCGCGGUAAUACGAAGGGUGCAAGCGUUACUCGGAAUUACUGGGCGUAAAGCGUGCGUAGGUGGUUUGUUAAGUCUGAUGUGAAAGCCCUGGGCUCAACCUGGGAAUGGCAUUGGAAACUGGCUUACUAGAGUGCGGUAGAGGGGUGUGGAUUCCCGGUGUAGCAGUGAAAUGCGUAGAUAUCGGGAGGAACAUCUGUGGCGAAGGCGACACCCUGGACCAGCACUGACACUGAGGGCACGAAAGCGGUGGGGAGCAAACAGGGAUUAGAUACC